This 320-nucleotide ribosomal RNA is filed under the name uncultured Lactobacillus sp. Its description in RNAcentral is "bacterial SSU rRNA". It matches the Rfam family "Bacterial small subunit ribosomal RNA", at positions 1106 to 1427 of the family's 1533-position model. The record is from RNAcentral. Lineage: Bacteria; Bacillati; Bacillota; Bacilli; Lactobacillales; Lactobacillaceae.
UAUUAUUAGUUGCCAGCAUUAAGUUGGGCACUUUAAUGAGACUGCCGGUGACAAACCGGAGGAAGGUGGGGAUGACGUCAAGUCAUCAUGCCCCUUAUGACCUGGGCUACACACGUGAUACAAUGGGCAGUACAACGAGGAGCGAACUUGUGAAGGCAAGCGAAUCUCUGAAAGCUGUUCUCAGUUCGGACUGUAGGCUGCAAAUUGCUUACACGAAGCUGGAAUCGCUAGUAAUCGCGGAUCAGCACGCCGCGGUGAAUACGUUCCCGGGCCCUGUACACACCGCCCGUCACACCAUGAGAGUUUGUAACACCCAAAGC